This 2936-nucleotide long non-coding RNA is filed under the name Cricetulus griseus (Chinese hamster). Its description in RNAcentral is "lncRNA (ENSCGRG00015029002.1)". The record is from RNAcentral. Lineage: Eukaryota; Metazoa; Chordata; Mammalia; Rodentia; Cricetidae.
GGAAAAGAGGGAACGAGGGAGCAAGGGGGCCAGGGGGCGGGCCUAAUGGGGUCUGGUCAGUUUCAGGAACUUCCUGAAGCGAUUUUGAGUUGUGUACCUCCUGGCUUAAGAAGUUUUAAUCUCCCGGGAAAAUGCCACACAACAACGCAGGUGUGCCGGUCUCUCCGGCCUCUCACGCCCACUCUCGGUAGAUGAGUCUGCCAGCUGACCCGAGCAGGUUUUUGAAGCCCAAGUCCCCUAGGUUCUCUCAACCCGGUUUUCUGCACCGUGCUCGAUCUGCUUCACUCGGCCUUCAGGCCUCACUGGAAUCGGCUUCUUAAAAGGUGGUUCCAGCUCGGCCCUUCUUCACACCCGCUGCCAGACACGCUGUGACUGCUCGGCUUUACGUCCUGUGCCUCCCACCAGAUGUAUUUAUUUUAUCUAUGAGUGCUCUAUCUGCAUGUAUGCCUGCACGCCAGAAGCGUCAGAUCCCACUACAGAUGCCUUGAGCCACCGUGUGGUUGCUGGGAAUUGAACCCCGGGACCUCUGGAAGAGCAGCCAGUACUCUUAACAGCUGAGCCAUCUCUCCAGCCCCCUACAUAUGUUGUUUUCCAAGGUGUUGGUGAGACAGCCUGGUACACUGUCCUCUCAUUACGUUUGUUAUGCACCCACCACCCAAGGUCUGCUGGGUAGACGGUACCCCAGCCCCACAGGAGGUACUUUGACAGUAAAUCCUGGGCCUGCCAAGUCGUCUUCGGGGCUAAACGCACUUGCUGUUAUUAUGGCUGGCAGCCCGAGUUUGAUCUCCACAGUCCACUUGAUGGAAGACUCACAGGAGGAGCCCUGGGACCAUCCUCGCAGUCCCUGCCCUCACACACUACACACACACAUUUAAAUAUAAUUUGGGCCUGGCAGUAGUGGCUAAUGCCCUUAAUCUCAGCAUUCGGGGAAGGCACAGGCCAGCCAGGCCUAUAGAGCUAGUUCCAGGACAGCCAAAGCUACACAAAGAAACCUUGUCUCAAAACAAACAAGUAAACCUCAGGACCUGGCGGUGGACCAGCACUUUGGAGAUAGAUCUGCGAUUUCGAGGAUAGCCUGAUCUACAGAGCCAGGGCCAGGACAGGCAAGGCCACACAGAGGAUCCCAGUCUGGAAAAAGACAAGAUUUAUUUAUAAAGUCUGUGUUGGAGAGAUGUGUCGGAGCGCCCUGACUUGCUCUUCACUAGGACCCCCGGGCUCUUUUCCCAGUAUCCACAAUGAGGCUCCAGUUCCGGGGCAUCCGAUGCCCUCUUCGACCUCCACGCGUUCCCCGGUGCUGCACACAUGUGGAACACAGACCGUGGUCAGGUAAAAGUAUCUCUAAACAGUAUAUAAGAUCACUCCACUUCUUUCCCCUCCAAAAGAGACAAUUUUGAUAACACAAUAACCCACGUGGAAGAGAACCAUCGUACAUUUGGCCCUCUAUCGCCCCUAGGCAUUUACACGGCACCUUCACAUUUCCAAAGCAUGGUACCAACAUUUAUUAAUCCUCACAACACCCCUGUGAGGUAGGUCAGCGUGUCCUUUAUAGCAGAGAACUGAGGCAGAAGUCAAGAGAAUCUUGCCCAAACCCGAUUGAGGUCACAAGGGCAGCUGGUGAGGGCCGGACGAGUCCAGAAGCAGGGGCUGUCCGGUCCUGCACUCACCCACCGGUGGACACCCUGUGGGUGCAUUUCUAUCAACGAAGGUCGCGUACAGGAAGGACGGAAAGGACCUUUCGGCCAACAACAGGAGAACCGACCCUGAACAGCACGCGGAAACGUGUCAGUCGGGGAGGACACUGACCAGCACGCCAACGAGGGAAGAGAAGAGAACACAUGCGCUGAGCAAAGGCUGGGCGGGGGGUCACGGCGACCGACCACCGCCUGCGAGGAGGACCCGGCGACCUUCAGACGGUUUGGAAAACUACAGUUUUACAAACUAGGAACCCAUUCCAGGGGUGACCAGCCCAAAUCCCGUGGUUUCCUUCAAGAGAAGAGGACUUGGGAAAAGACAGAGGUGAAGUCCGCCCAACCUAACUUUACUCAGGGAAUGAAGAUCGUGCCAGCUCCCGUCAGAGAGCCAGGGAGUGUGUGACACGGGACCACCACCGGCACUCCGCAUCCCGUCUGCACACCGACUUUUGUCCCCGGGAAUCUACUUCCCUCCCCACACAAGAGCUCUUCCUUCCAGCAGAAGGCUUGCCCUCUGUGCUAGUCAAUAGGCUGUCAGGGUGGCCGUGGUGACCACGGAGGGGCUCGGUGGACAGAUGGCUGCGCCCAACUGGCUGAGCUAGGGACGGGAUCCAGGGCUCUAUGAUGCUCCUGCAUUUCGGAAACGGCAGUGGUCUGCCUCCGUCCUGCUGUCCAGCUGCACCUUCUGGGUGGUGCUCUCCGGUAAAGCGUUCGGUGAACCUGGUUCAGUUGGCCAUUUCAAAAAAAGAAGGGGAGGAAAACAAAAACAAAAAACCUGCACUGUAAAGCAUAAUACUGGAGUAGAUUUAUUAUCGCUACCCCAAAUUCCAGAGCGAUACAAGGAGCAUGGAGUUAAAACGCCGCUGGUAUCGCCGGGCGUUUUACAAUAUUGGUUUAGUCCACGAGUUUAAGGCAAACAUGUAACGCAUCUGCUUUUCUUCAGAGAUCAUAUAAAGCUCACAGAAACUGACCCAAAACUCUACGUUCAUUAAUUCAAAGUAAGUCUCAUUAAGAAGGUUUACACGGAUACAUGAAAAAACGCAGGACACAGGAUACUUAAAAAGAAAAAAGAAAAAAAAAAUCUAGAAAGUCAACCUUUAUCAUGUGUGAACAACGGACUCUGAGAGUCCACACCUUGCCAGCUGUUUCUGUUGUCCCCAGUGAGCUUAGAUGCCUUCUGUUGAAGGCAGCCCUUUUCAACAGAAAAGUGUGGCCUAUGUGUCUCCGUUUAAAACCGCAAGGCAG